RNAcentral lists this ribosomal RNA (253 nucleotides) under uncultured bacterium. RNAcentral describes it as "partial 16S ribosomal RNA". It matches the Rfam family "Bacterial small subunit ribosomal RNA", at positions 524 to 776 of the family's 1533-position model. The record is from RNAcentral.
GACGAACUGUCCUAACGUUGUUCGGAAUCACUGGGCUUAAAGGGCGCGUAGGCGGUCCGAUAAGUCGGGGGUGAAAUCCUGCAGCUUAACUGUAGAAGUGCCUUCGAUACUGUCGGUCUUGAGGGAGAUAGGGGUGUGCGGAACUUCCAGUGGAGCGGUGAAAUGCGUUGAUAUUGGAAGGAACGCCGGAGGCGAAAGCGGCGCACUGGAUCUCUUCUGACGCUGAGGCGCGAAAGCUAGGGGAGCAAACGGG